This 1290-nucleotide ribosomal RNA is filed under the name Microbispora rosea. RNAcentral describes it as "bacterial SSU rRNA". It matches the Rfam family "Bacterial small subunit ribosomal RNA", at positions 55 to 1355 of the family's 1533-position model. The record is from RNAcentral. Lineage: Bacteria; Bacillati; Actinomycetota; Actinomycetes; Streptosporangiales; Streptosporangiaceae.
AUGCAGUCGAGCGGAAGGCCCUUCGGGGUACUCGAGCGGCGAACGGGUGAGUAACACGUGAGUAACCUGCCCCUGACUCUGGGAUAAGCCUGGGAAACCGGGUCUAAUACCGGAUAUGACACUCCUCCGCAUGGUGUGGGUGUGGAAAGUUUUUUCGGUUGGGGAUGGACUCGCGGCCUAUCAGCUUGUUGGUGGGGUGAUGGCCUACCAAGGCGACGACGGGUAGCCGGCCUGAGAGGGCGACCGGCCACACUGGGACUGAGACACGGCCCAGACUCCUACGGGAGGCAGCAGUGGGGAAUAUUGCGCAAUGGGCGAAAGCCUGACGCAGCGACGCCGCGUGGGGGAUGACGGCCUUCGGGUUGUAAACCUCUUUCAGCAGGGACGAAGUUGACGUGUACCUGUAGAAGAAGCGCCGGCUAACUACGUGCCAGCAGCCGCGGUAAUACGUAGGGCGCGAGCGUUGUCCGGAAUUAUUGGGCGUAAAGAGCUCGUAGGUGGCUUGUUGCGUCUGCCGUGAAAGCCCGUGGCUUAACUACGGGUCUGCGGUGGAUACGGGCAGGCUAGAGGCUGGUAGGGGCAAGCGGAAUUCCUGGUGUAGCGGUGAAAUGCGCAGAUAUCAGGAGGAACACCGGUGGCGAAGGCGGCUUGCUGGGCCAGUUCUGACGCUGAGGAGCGAAAGCGUGGGGAGCGAACAGGAUUAGAUACCCUGGUAGUCCACGCUGUAAACGUUGGGCGCUAGGUGUGGGGGUCUUCCUACGAUCUCUGUGCCGUAGCUAACGCAUUAAAGCGCCCCGCCUGGGGAGUACGGCCGCAAGGCUAAAACUCAAAGGAAUUUGACGGGGGCCCGCACAAGCGGCGGAACAUGUUGCUUAAUUUCGAACGCAACGCGAAGAACCUUACCAAGGUUUGACAUACACCGGAAACACUCAGAGAUGGGUGCCUCCUUUGGACUGGUGUACAGGUGGUGCAUGGCUGUCGUCAGCUCGUGUCGUGAGAUGUUGGGUUAAGUCCCGCAACGAGCGCAACCCUUGUUCCAUGUUGCCAGCACGCCCUUUGGGGUGGUGGGGACUCAUGGGAGACUGCCGGGGUCAACUCGGAGGAAGGUGGGGAUGACGUCAAGUCAUCAUGCCCCUUAUGUCUUGGGCUGCAAACAUGCUACAAUGGCCGGUACAGAGGGUUGCGAUACCGUGAGGUGGAGCGAAUCCCUAAAAGCCGGUCUCAGUUCGGAUUGGGGUCUGCAACUCGACCCCAUGAAGUCGGAGUCGCUAGUAAUCGCAGAUCAGCCAC